Molecule: ribosomal RNA, 425 nt
Filed under: uncultured bacterium
Lineage: Bacteria
Description: bacterial SSU rRNA
Rfam family: Bacterial small subunit ribosomal RNA
Source: RNAcentral
GUGGGGAAUCUUGCACAAUGGGGGAAACCCUGAUGCAGCGACGCCGCGUGAGCGAUGAAGCCCUUCGGGGUGUAAAGCUCUUUCGGCAGGGACGAUUAUGACGGUACCUGCGGAAGAAGCUGCGGCUAACUACGUGCCAGCAGCCGCGGUAAUACGUAGGCAGCAAGCGUUGUUCGGAAUUACUGGGCGUAAAGAGUGCGUAGGCGGUUGGCUAAGUUUGGUGUGAAAUCUCCCGGCUCAACUGGGAGGGUGCGCCGAAAACUGGCUGGCUAGAGUGUGGGAGAGGAAAGUGGAAUUCCUGGUGUAGCGGUGAAAUGCGUAGAUAUCAGGAGGAACACCUGCGGUGUAGACGGCUUUCUGGACCACGACUGACGCUGAGGCACGAAAGCGUGGGUAGCAAACAGGAUUAGAAACCCUAGUAGUCC